RNAcentral lists this ribosomal RNA (287 nucleotides) under Actinomycetes bacterium. RNAcentral's name for it is "Actinobacteria bacterium partial 16S ribosomal RNA". It matches the Rfam family "Bacterial small subunit ribosomal RNA", at positions 223 to 520 of the family's 1533-position model. The record is from RNAcentral. Lineage: Bacteria; Bacillati; Actinomycetota; Actinomycetes.
GGAGGGGCUCGCGGCCUAUCAGCUAGUUGGUGAGGUAAUGGCUCACCAAGGCGUCGACGGGUAGCCGGCCUGAGAGGGUGACCGGCCACACUGGGACUGAGACACGGCCCAGACUCCUACGGGAGGCAGCAGUGGGGAAUAUUGCACAAUGGGCGCAAGCCUGAUGCAGCAACGCCGCGUGAGGGACGACGGCCUUCGGGUUGUAAACCUCUUUUAGUAGGGAAGAAGCCUUCGGGUGACGGUACCUGCAGAAAAAGCGCCGGCUAACUACGUGCCAGCAGCCGCGG